AACCUUACCUACUCUUGACAUCCAGAGAAUUCGCUAGAGAUAGCUUAGUGCCUUCGGGAACUCUGAGACAGGUGCUGCAUGGCUGUCGUCAGCUCGUGUUGUGAAAUGUUGGGUUAAGUCCCGCAACGAGCGCAACCCUUAUCCUUUGUUGCCAGCACGUAAUGGUGGGAACUCAAAGGAGACUGCCGGUGAUAAACCGGAGGAAGGUGGGGAUGACGUCAAGUCAUCAUGGCCCUUACGAGUAGGGCUACACACGUGCUACAAUGGCAUAUACAAAGAGAAGCGAACUCGCGAGAGCAAGCGGACCUCAUAAAGUAUGUCGUAGUCCGGAUUGGAGUCUGCAACUCGACUCCAUGAAGUCGGAAUCGCUAGUAAUCGUAGAUCAGAAUGCUACGGUGAAUACGUUCCCGGGCCUUGUACACACCGCCCGUCACACCAUGGGAGUGGGUUGCAAAAGAAGUA
This 462-nucleotide ribosomal RNA is filed under the name Ewingella americana. RNAcentral describes it as "bacterial SSU rRNA". It matches the Rfam family "Bacterial small subunit ribosomal RNA", at positions 967 to 1428 of the family's 1533-position model. The record is from RNAcentral. Lineage: Bacteria; Pseudomonadati; Pseudomonadota; Gammaproteobacteria; Enterobacterales; Yersiniaceae.